This 498-nucleotide ribosomal RNA is filed under the name uncultured bacterium. RNAcentral's name for it is "partial 16S ribosomal RNA". It matches the Rfam family "Bacterial small subunit ribosomal RNA", at positions 28 to 507 of the family's 1533-position model. The record is from RNAcentral.
GACGAACGCUGGCGGCGUGCCUAAUACAUGCAAGUCGAGCGGACGGAUGGGAGCUUGCUCCCAGACCGUCAGCGGCGGACGGGUGAGUAACACGUGGGCAACCUGCCUGUAAGACUGGGAUAACUCCGGGAAACCGGGGCUAAUACCGGAUAACUCUUUCCCUCACAUGAGGGAAAGCUGAAAGAUGGCAUCUCGCUAUCACUUACAGAUGGGCCCGCGGCGCAUUAGCUAGUUGGUGAGGUAACGGCUCACCAAGGCGACGAUGCGUAGCCGACCUGAGAGGUUGAUCGGCCACACUGGGACUGAGACACGGCCCAGACUCCUACGGGAGGCAGCAGUAGGGAAUCUUCCGCAAUGGACGAAAGUCUGACGGAGCAACGCCGCGUGAGUGAUGAAGGUUUUCGGAUCGUAAAACUCUGUUGUCAGGGAAGAACAAGUACCGGAGUAACUGCCGGUACCUUGACGGUACCUGACCAGAAAGCCACGGCUAACUACGUG